CUUUAGUGUGUGAUGUAGCUACUGAGAAGAAUUUCAAAAGCUUCUAUAUUUUUUACCGAUCCUACUUUCACCCUGCUAUUAUACACAAAUGCAAAAUUAUAUCUCACUAUAGAAAGAUAGCUAGAAAAAUGCAAAACUACAAAAUAGGAGAGAAAAUAAACAUAUUUAGCAUAACCAGUAAAAAGCAUUUUUCAAUUUUGAUCAUCAAGUAUCGACCCCUUUUUAAAUGUCAUCUUCACAUGAAGUCCUUCUUGCUUUGUUGUCCCUAUCCCAAUAUGCAGGCAUGUAUUUGUCAAGAGAUAGCUUCCCACUGAAUGAUUCAAGUGGCUCUUCUAACAGAGGACCGCUGUAAUGGUGCUGCAUCUGCAAACUCGUGUCCAUGACCAUGUCACCGUUCAGUAUACGA
This 406-nucleotide long non-coding RNA is filed under the name Arachis ipaensis. RNAcentral describes it as "long non-coding RNA (AIPA_LNC000818)". The record is from RNAcentral. Lineage: Eukaryota; Viridiplantae; Streptophyta; Magnoliopsida; Fabales; Fabaceae.